RNAcentral lists this ribosomal RNA (253 nucleotides) under uncultured bacterium. Its description in RNAcentral is "partial 16S ribosomal RNA". It matches the Rfam family "Bacterial small subunit ribosomal RNA", at positions 524 to 776 of the family's 1533-position model. The record is from RNAcentral.
UACGUAGGGUGCGAGCGUUAAUCGGAAUUACUGGGCGUAAAGCGUGCGCAGGCGGUUUUGUAAGCCAGAUGUGAAAUCCCCGGGCUCAACCUGGGAAUGGCAUUUGGGACUGCAAGGCUGGAGUGUGGCAGAGGAGACUGGAAUUCCUGGUGUAGCAGUGAAAUGCGUAGAUAUCGGGAGGAAUACCGAUGGCGAAGGCAGGUCUCUGGGCUGACACUGACGCUCAUGCACGAAAGCGUGGGGAGCAAACAGG